RNAcentral lists this ribosomal RNA (468 nucleotides) under uncultured bacterium. RNAcentral's name for it is "partial 16S ribosomal RNA". It matches the Rfam family "Bacterial small subunit ribosomal RNA", at positions 28 to 507 of the family's 1533-position model. The record is from RNAcentral.
GACGAACGCUGGCGGCGUGCUUAACACAUGCAAGUCGAACGGAAAGGCCCUGCUUUUGUGGGGUGCUCGAGUGGCGAACGGGUGAGUAACACGUGAGUAACCUGCCCUUGACUUUGGGAUAACUUCAGGAAACUGGGGCUAAUACCGGAUAGGAGCUCCUGCUGCAUGGUGGGGGUUGGAAAGUUUCGGCGGUUGGGGAUGGACUCGCGGCUUAUCAGCUUGUUGGUGGGGUAGUGGCUUACCAAGGCUUUGACGGGUAGCCGGCCUGAGAGGGGGACCGGCCACAUUGGGACUGAGAUACGGCCCAGACUCCUACGGGAGGCAGCAGUGGGGAAUAUUGCACAAUGGGCGGAAGCCUGAUGCAGCAACGCCGCGUGCGGGAUGACGGCCUUCGGGGUGUAAACCGCUUUCGCCUGUGACGAAGCGUGAGUGACGGUAAUGGGUAAAGAAGCACCGGCUAACUACGUG